RNAcentral lists this transfer RNA (87 nucleotides) under bacterium. RNAcentral describes it as "tRNA-Leu". It matches the Rfam family "tRNA". Rfam says of the family: Transfer RNA (tRNA) molecules are approximately 80 nucleotides in length. Their secondary structure includes four short double-helical elements and three loops (D, anti-codon, and T loops). The record is from RNAcentral.
GCAAGAGUGGCGGAACUGGUAGACGCGCUGGAUUUAGGAUCCAGUUCCCGAAAGGGAGUGGGGGUUCGAUUCCCUCCUCUUGUACCA